GAUGAAGAACGCAGCGAAAUGCGAUAAGUAAUGUGAAUUGCAGAAUUCAGUGAAUCAUCGAAUCUUUGAACGCACAUUGCGCCCUCUGGUAUUCCGGGGGGCAUGUCUGUUCGAGCGUCAUUAUAACCACUCAAGCUCUCGCUUGGUAUUGGGGUUCGCGGUUCCGCGGCCCCUAAAAUCAGUGGCGGUGCCUGUCGGCUCUACGCGUAGUAAUACUCCUCGCGAUUGAGUCCGGUAGGUCUACUUGCCAGCAACCCCCAAUUUUUACAGGUUGACCUCGGAUCAGGUAGGGAUACCCGCUGAACUUAAGCAUAUCAAUAAGCGGAGGA
Molecule: unclassified non-coding RNA, 329 nt
Filed under: soil metagenome
Description: partial contains 5.8S ribosomal RNA, internal transcribed spacer 2, and large subunit ribosomal RNA
Rfam family: 5.8S ribosomal RNA (bases 1-120)
Source: RNAcentral